UGGGUUUGAGAGCUCUUUUUUGUCUGCGGUUCUCUGCUUUCUUUGCGGGAGGAAGGAAGGAAGGGGUCGGUAGAGGAGGACAGGACGGACGCGCACGCGUAAAAGUGUGAUUUGGGGGUUAGGUUGGACGGCGCCGAGCAGCGUCUAGCCGUCUCGUCAGGUGGCGGCGGCGCCUCCACCACUAGUAAGAAAAAUAGCCCUCCACAUGUAGACGAACCGGAGACCGUCAUCGACGUCAAUGGUUGUCAGCUCUCAAGAGUACCGGUUCAGAGUACUCUGUUGCUCAUCCUUUGGAGGACCGGAGGCCAAUAAGUUUCCACGGUUCCGAGAUUCUUUAAUGGUCUGCGAGCAGAACCAGGAAUGUAAGAACCGUAUGUGAACGAAGGUAUACUGAGCCUUCUAUUGUUCGUAACAGUUCUCACUCGAACUAGGGGUCUGUUUUCACCCCAGACGGACCCCUGCUAACGUGUGUGCGCUGUCAGAGUUGUAACCAACCAGAGGUAAAUUGUGGAGACUACCAAGGUGAAACGAACCACUCUAUCUACAGCGUAAGGAACGCCACAUAAGAGAACCCUACAAGAAGCGGCCCGUAGAACCACUGGCGUACCUGAACUCCUAACAAGAUUGUUAACCGUACUAACCGUGGCGGUAUAAGUGACGCGAGAAACCACGACCUAUAACCGAUUUAUAAGUGUUGAAGAUGAUGAAAGACCAGAAAGUCUACUAACGACCGAAUAAAGUUAGUAGACCUACCGGAAGUCAGCAACGUCAACAACCAUUGACCAAACCCUUCUCGUUCUCCCCUAACUAAUACCCAUAUACCUUGCGUGUAUGAAGAUAACCUUUGUAUAGGCCAAGAGACGAACGACGUAGAGACGACUUUAAACCUACCCCCACCAGUAAACGGUAGGGGUCGUAGUAGUACCGAGAACGACCCAACCACCACAAGAAAAAGAACGGCCAAUCAGGACUACAUUACCUCUACCUAUAACUACUACACCUCCAUUUGAGCCUGUUCCUAUGACGUUUCCUCGGGGAAAACCUUGGUCCGGUUCUUCACUUUGUAUUCCGUUAACCUAAGAACCUCCGUACCUCCUAAGGACCUCAACGUGGCAAACGAGAGACGGAGAAGAAGAGGUUCAACCAACGUAUGUGGAAGGACAUGACCGAUGGAAAGAUGUAGUCGGUAUGUGGAUAACCGUUGCUCAUGGAGAGACUACGCUACCGACCGUCGAACAGUUGUCAGAAGCUACAACCUCCACACAACCCUCCUCAGGAACGGCCAGUGUAGAGACUAGCGAAUUUACGUGCUCGUUAGUGCCGACGCUCGAAGUACAUGACACGGUGUGGACGGGAAAAGAACAUGUCUUGUAUACCUUCGUACAGCUACUACAACUUAUAAACGGAGUACAAGUAGUGACCGUACAAACAGUUACCAGGAAUACGGGACUAGUGUUGGCGUCAUAGUCGACUGGAACCGUGAGUGUCGAGUACCUUACCAUUAAGAGCCCGUGACCGGUGACACUGUCGUUAGUAACUACCCUGGCCCAGCCAACCACGGCGCUAGCCCGGUAACGAGUGUCCUAUGUAGAGUUGUCUCUCGACCUCACGGCACAAGUGUUACAACUACCGUCGUCGUGAAGAACGACCCGAGGAGAACUGUGUAGAACAGACACGACUCGAUUCUCCUUUCGACAGAAGGUUACCCUCGUUCCAACAGCGGUUACGUGUUUGAUGGACGAGUCUGGUUCAUAUUCUAACAUUCAUACCAGACAUUCUACACCAUAAUACGUGACCUUUGUAAAAAACAUCAAGGUAGUGGAAGAACCAGCUGUAGUCAUACUCAGACUUUAUUCGACUUCCUACCCCAAAGGCUCACUGAACGAGACAUGUUUGAGGUCCUUACUGAUCGUCUCCUAUCUUUUCAACACAGCUCUAAAAAAUAAAUCUGUUCUACCUCCACUUUUGUGGUUUUCAAAGACUCGGGUGUAUCAAAGAAAAGGGAUCACGGAACAUUUAUGCUUAACCCGUUAUUCAAACCCGGACACAAACGAACAUAGUGACGUAUAAAUUCGAACAUGCGUACACUAACGACAAAUCCCAUCUAUAUUCUUUUAGAGGGAGAUGUUCUACUCUAGGCUCAGAUAGACGACCGGUAGAACUAGGGGAAAACAUGAACAUUUAUAUAGCUCAACUAUUUUAAACCUUAACUCUAGGGUGUAGGGUCCCUUUACAACCAGGUUCUUUCAUUUACCACAUGACUAAUAAACAAGUAUACG
RNAcentral lists this ribosomal RNA (2279 nucleotides) under Triticum aestivum (bread wheat). RNAcentral describes it as "partial small subunit ribosomal RNA". Lineage: Eukaryota; Viridiplantae; Streptophyta; Magnoliopsida; Poales; Poaceae. The record is from RNAcentral.